RNAcentral lists this transfer RNA (74 nucleotides) under Parupeneus cyclostomus (goldsaddle goatfish). Its description in RNAcentral is "tRNA-Asp". It matches the Rfam family "tRNA". From Rfam's summary of the family: Transfer RNA (tRNA) molecules are approximately 80 nucleotides in length. Their secondary structure includes four short double-helical elements and three loops (D, anti-codon, and T loops). Further hydrogen bonds mediate the characteristic L-shaped molecular structure. tRNAs have two regions of fundamental functional importance: the anti-codon, which is responsible for specific mRNA codon recognition, and the 3' end, to which the tRNAs corresponding amino acid is attached (by aminoacyl-tRNA synthetases). tRNAs cope with the degeneracy of the genetic code in two manners: having more than one tRNA (with a specific anti-codon) for a particular amino acid; and 'wobble' base-pairing, i.e. permitting non-standard base-pairing at the 3rd anti-codon position. The record is from RNAcentral. Lineage: Eukaryota; Metazoa; Chordata; Actinopteri; Syngnathiformes; Mullidae.
GAGACACUAGUAAAAUAGGUUCAUUACACUGCCUUGUCAAGGCAGAAUUGUGGGUUUGAAUCCCUCGCGUCUCG